UGGGGAAUAUUGCACAAUGGGCGCAAGCCUGAUGCAGCGACGCCGCGUGGGGGAUGACGGCCUUCGGGUUGUAAACUCCUUUCGCUAGGGACGAAGCUUUUUGUGACGGUACCUAGAUAAGAAGCACCGGCUAACUACGUGCCAGCAGCCGCGGUAAUACGUAGGGUGCGAGCGUUGUCCGGAAUUACUGGGCGUAAAGGGCUCGUAGGUGGUUUGUCGCGUCGUCUGUGAAAUUCCGGGGCUUAACUCCGGGCGUGCAGGCGAUACGGGCAUAACUUGAGUACUGUAGGGGUAACUGGAAUUCCUGGUGUAGCGGUGAAAUGCGCAGAUAUCAGGAGGAACACCGAUGGCGAAGGCAGGUUACUGGGCAGUUACUGACGCUGAGGAGCGAAAGCAUGGGUGGCGAACAGG
This 411-nucleotide ribosomal RNA is filed under the name Actinomycetes bacterium. RNAcentral's name for it is "Actinobacteria bacterium partial 16S ribosomal RNA". It matches the Rfam family "Bacterial small subunit ribosomal RNA", at positions 355 to 776 of the family's 1533-position model. The record is from RNAcentral. Lineage: Bacteria; Bacillati; Actinomycetota; Actinomycetes.